RNAcentral lists this non-coding RNA (31 nucleotides) under Homo sapiens (human). Lineage: Eukaryota; Metazoa; Chordata; Mammalia; Primates; Hominidae. The record is from RNAcentral.
UUGCCUCUGAGGCUCACAUUUCACUUUCCCA